GUUAGAUUAAAAACAAAAGAAGGAAGGUAUGUAGAAGAGGAUAAAGGUCUAGCUGACUGCCUCAAUGAAUAUUUUUGUUCUGUAUUUACAGAUGAAAAUGAAGGAAAGGGACCUCAGUUGAGAAAAAGGAUAAAUGAGUCAUUUAUUACACGUGAGUUUACAGAGGAAGAUGUUCUAUUUCAACUGUCAAAAGUAAAGACAAAUAAGUCAAUGGGACCUGAUGGAAU
RNAcentral lists this long non-coding RNA (227 nucleotides) under Pelobates cultripes (western spadefoot toad). Lineage: Eukaryota; Metazoa; Chordata; Amphibia; Anura; Pelobatidae. The record is from RNAcentral.